AUGGUAGGAUAGAGGCCUACCAUGGUGGUAACGGGUAACGGGGUGUUAGGGCACGACACCGGAGAGGGAGCCUGAGAAACGGCUACCACAUCCAAGGAAGGCAGCAGGCGCGCAAAUUACCCAAUCCCGACACGGGGAGGUAGUGACAAUAAAUAACAAUACAGGGUUCUUUGAAUCUUGUAAUUGGAAUGAGUACAAUUUAAAUCUCUUAACGAGGAACAAUUGGAGGGCAAGUCUGGUGCCAGCAGCCGCGGUAAUUCCAGCUCCAAUAGCGUAUAUUAAAGUUGUUGCAGUUAAAAAGCUCGUAGUUGAAUUUCGGGAUCAAUACGUCGGUCGUGCUUUCGGGUACGUACUGGCGUCAUUGGUUUCUCCUUUCUGACGAACCAUGAUGUCAUUAAUUUGGUGUUAUGGGGAGUUAGGACUGUUACUUUGAAAAAAUUAGAGUGUUUAAAGCAGGCAUUAGCUUGAAUACAUUAGCAUGGAAUAAUGAAAUAGGACGUUCGAUCCUAUUUUGUUGGUUUCUAGGAUCAACGUAAUGAUUAAUAGGGAUAGUUGGGGGCAUUAGUAUUCAAUUGUCAGAGGUGGAAUUCUUGGAUUUAUUGAAGACUAACUACUGCGAAAGCAUUUGCCAAGGAUGUUUUCAAUAAUCAAGAACGAAAGUUAGGGGAUCGAAGACGAUCAGAUACCGUCGUAGUCUUAACCAUAAACUAUGCCGACUAGGGAUCGGAUGAUGUUAAUUUUUUAAUGACUCAUUCGGCGCCUUACGGGAAACCAAAGUGUUUGGG
This 785-nucleotide ribosomal RNA is filed under the name uncultured Glomus. Its description in RNAcentral is "SSU rRNA". It matches the Rfam family "Eukaryotic small subunit ribosomal RNA", at positions 325 to 1111 of the family's 1831-position model. The record is from RNAcentral. Lineage: Eukaryota; Fungi; Glomeromycota; Glomeromycetes; Glomerales; Glomeraceae.